UUUUUUUUAUUUUUGGAGACAGGGUCUUGCUCUGUUGCUCAGGUUGAAAUGCAGUGGCAUGAUCUUGGCUCACUGCAACUUCCACUUCCUGGGUUCAAGUGAUCCUCCAACCACAGCCUCUUGAGUAGCUGGCAAUAUAGGCGCACGCCACCACGCCCAGCUGAUUUUUGUAUUUUUUUAGAGACAAGGUUUCACCAUGUUGGUCAGGCUGGUCUUGAACUCCUGACCUCAGGUGAUCUGCCCUCCUCAGCCUCCCAAAGUGCUGGGAUUACAGGCAUGAGCCACCACAUGGGGCCUAAAUGUGGUUCUUAUCUGCUUCUUAUCAUGGGUAAGAGCAGAGCCUGCACUCUGGAGGCCAGAGUGCAGAUACUGGCUCUGGCUUAUUAACUGCAACUUUGGGAAGUUACUUAACCUCUCUGUUUCAUCAUUUGUACCUUAGAAUGUUGCUGUGAGCACUAAACUACAGUGCCCAACACACAGUAACAGUUGAAUAGAUGUUAGCUGUUUUUAUUGCUACUCCUACCAAUAAAUUUUUUUUUGCUACAACUGGUCACCAAGCAAAGAACAGAGCAUGGCCAGUGUAUGGAGAAUCAGAUUUCAAGGGCAGCCCAUAACACGCUCACAAAACACAGGGAUAUUGUUUGUUUAUCUCUUCUAAGAUCUCAAGGCACUUAAAAGUCUCAACUUAUCAAUUUUCACAGGACUUUCCUGACAUAGGUUGGAAUCCAUUAUAAUCACCCUAGGGAGGGGUUAAUGACCUACUCAAGGUUACUUGCCAGGGUCAACCACUGGCUAGGAAUAGAAAUUGACUCUGCAGUCACCCCCUUUGUCUUAAUAACUUCCUCCCUAUGUGGUUUUGGCAAAGACAAAACACCCGAGAGUGAUGCAGCAACUGGAGUGAAGGUCAAAGAACAGCAUCUGGGUUUAGCACAGCCUUGAUGAGGCCUUUUUUCCUUUCAUCUUCCCACAAACAGGCUUGUAUAUCCAGCAGCCUCCUGUCCCUCUCUAAGUACCUCAAAAUAGUAUUCCUUGACCUCCCUUCAUCCAGGAGAUGCCAAGGAGGGGAAAGCAGAUGCAUCUGAGAUGCCAAAGAAAGGUUCUCACACACAGACUCCUUGCCCUUGGACGUGUUUGCAUCCUCACAUCCUUCUCAUCCUUACAUUCCUACUGCUGCAGUCAUAGCAGCUCCUAGGCUCUGCCUUGGACAGAACCCACAGUUCCCUUGAAGGAACAAGUUCUCUGCAGCCGGGCCCCUGCCCCAACAUCCAGGGACCAUGUUGGUCACAGUCCUAUUUACAGCUUCCAGAGCAGUCAAGUACAGAAAACCAUGUAACAAAGCCACUGAGAAGACCCAUCCUGGUGUGUGCACACAUGUGUGUUUUCAAUCACCCCUCUGCCUUCCCUCUCCAGUUACUCGGAUCUCCUUGCUUUCAUCAUGAGAACAGUGAAUUAUUUAUGGAGUAACAUACUGCACUCAGGGUCUCCCAUGAUCAUGCAGAUUGUGACCGCCCUGGGGAAUUUACUGCCUAAGUCAUUCGGAGAGAAUGGGCAAAUGAGGCAUAAGGUGAC
This is a long non-coding RNA of Macaca fascicularis (crab-eating macaque), 1569 nucleotides long. Lineage: Eukaryota; Metazoa; Chordata; Mammalia; Primates; Cercopithecidae. The record is from Ensembl.